UAUCAGGAGCCUGCCUUUCCCUGAACAGACAUCUUGAUCUUUUGCUUUACUUGUCUGAGCUAUUCAGGACGAUGAUGGAAAAGGUGAUUCAGAGGCAGCAUUGGCAGCAUCCUCCACUAUACCUGAAGACAACAGAUAAGAAAUCAGAAACAGAAUGAGGCUCUGAGAGCAACUAUGAAGGAAGAAGAAAAGAUCCUCAAGAGAACGAGCACAGGAGAUGGAACACUGGGUGCAG
Molecule: long non-coding RNA, 235 nt
Organism: Pogona vitticeps (central bearded dragon)
Lineage: Eukaryota; Metazoa; Chordata; Lepidosauria; Squamata; Agamidae
Source: RefSeq, a predicted model, not a curated record